RNAcentral lists this unclassified non-coding RNA (462 nucleotides) under Hevea brasiliensis (rubber tree). Lineage: Eukaryota; Viridiplantae; Streptophyta; Magnoliopsida; Malpighiales; Euphorbiaceae. The record is from RNAcentral.
CUUCAACCUCACUCCUCUCUUUCUCUUUCUCUUUCUAGAGUUUCUCUGAUGUACAUUCCUCUAUGGAUGAUCCCAUGAUUUCACCAUUGACAGUCCAAUCAGCUCCUUCGUCACAGCUGAAUGUUCCUGCAAUAAUGCCACGCCCCUCUCUGAAUCUCGAAACCCUAGCUCCAUCUGACCACGUGAACCGCUUGAUCAACUCCAGCCAUUAUAUCUCUCCGUCGAGAACAAUUUAUUCCGAUAGGUUUAUUCCCAGCAGAUCCAGCUCCAAUUUUAAUCUAUUCAACAUUUCGUCGUCUUCGCCGCCGUCAUCAACGAAUCUUCCGACGUCCGACGGAGGAAAGGAGGACAGCUCCAGUGCCUACGCGGCACUACUACGUUCUGCUCUUUUCGGACCCCACACGCCGGAUAAAAGGGACUCGCCGGGACGCAAUAUUUUCCGGUUCAAGACGGAGACAAGAC